AAGUUUUGGGGAAUCAUCCAAUAUACCACCACAUAUUCCAGAUUGAGGUUUCUACUAUCAUUCUCUUCUAAAAGAAAUCAAGGCUCCAUGGACAGUGUCUAUAUCAUGGACUUCUUGCCUUCAGAAAGUAAGGCCUUCAUCGGAAGAAAUUGCAAUAGAACUAAGACAAGAAAGUUAGCUAAAGAAAAGGUUAUGGUAGCCAAAUAAUUAAAAGGGAACAUCCUUCUGUAUCAGAAAUUCCCAUGUUUCCAUAUCCAGAUUUCUUCACCAAGGCAGAUAAAGAGUUGGCAAAAAUCAUUGACCAUCACACAGAAGCAACAUGCUGUGCAAAAUUAUACAUCAUAUUACAGCAGCUGAGAAGACAACAUAUAUCACAUCAAUGCUGCCUCUGUAAGGCACUCACAAGAGAAUAUUUCAAUUACUCUCUUGGCCACUCUUGGUCAUCAUUGUGUGAUGACCCAUCAUACAAUCCUAUCUACUUCAUCAUUUUCCUUAGUGCCCAUAAAAAGACAAGCUGAAGGUGUAAAGAGAAUGCAAGAGAGAUCAAUAGCCUCUGAUGUGUUGGACUCAGCUCAGAUUUUCCCAUGUAAAAGAUCUAAUUUUCGGCUGGACUGCGACACCAUGCCGAGAUUAAACUUCCCGCUCCUUAACUCACACACAUGUGUUCAUGUCUUCAAUCCUCUUGGCACUAGAUGAUGAGCCCUGGGUAUUUACCCCAGACAGUGCUGCCACUUCACAAGGAAACAGAUGUUAAAGCCCUUCUCAGAGAAUUUUCCAAGAGUAAAGCUGGUGAUGGAUAGCCAAACAUUAAUCAGCGAAAAGGAGUUUGACCUAUAGAGCCAAGGAGAAGUUGGACAAAGAACGUGAAAAGGACAACAUGCAAAUCCAGUCCAGUGAAUGGGAGCUCAAUGAGAAUCUUCAAAGGACCACACUUCUGUGUCCUACAGGCCUGGAGAUCUGGGAGCAAAACAGAAAGUACCAGACAACUGAGAGAGAGAGUGCUAAUAAUAAAGUACAAAGUGAGAG
Molecule: small RNA, 1026 nt
Filed under: Pan troglodytes (chimpanzee)
Lineage: Eukaryota; Metazoa; Chordata; Mammalia; Primates; Hominidae
Description: processed transcript
Source: RNAcentral